GAUGAACGCUGGCGGCGUGCCUAAUACAUGCAAGUCGAGCGAACAGACGAGGAGCUUGCGCCUCUGACGUUAGCGGCGGACGGGUGAGUAACACGUGGAUAACCUACCUAUAAGACUGGGAUAACUUCGGGAAACCGGAGCUAAUACCGGAUAAUAUAUUGAACCGCAUGGUGCAAUAGUGAAAGACGGUUUUGCUGUCACGUAUAGAUGGAUCCGCGCCGUAUUAGCUAGUUGGUAAGGUAAAGGCCUACCAAGGCGACUAGGCGUAUCCGAACUCAGAGGGUGGUCGGCCACCCUGGAACGUGACCACCGUCCAGGCUCCUACGGGAGGCCGCAGUCGGCAACCUUCCGCAAUGGGCGAAAGCCUGACGGAGCAACGCCGCGUGAGUGAUGAAGGUCUUCGGAUCGUAAAACUCUGUUAUUAGGGAAGAACAAAUGUGUAAGUAACUAUGCACGUCUUGACGGUACCUAAUCAGAAAGCCACGGCUAACUACGUG
Molecule: ribosomal RNA, 497 nt
Filed under: uncultured bacterium
Lineage: Bacteria
Description: partial 16S ribosomal RNA
Rfam family: Bacterial small subunit ribosomal RNA
Source: RNAcentral